RNAcentral lists this ribosomal RNA (201 nucleotides) under uncultured bacterium. Its description in RNAcentral is "partial 16S ribosomal RNA". It matches the Rfam family "Bacterial small subunit ribosomal RNA", at positions 1300 to 1500 of the family's 1533-position model. The record is from RNAcentral.
GUAGGCUGCAACUCGCCUACAUGAAGUCGGAAUUGCUAGUAAUCGCGGAUCAGCAUGCCGCGGUGAAUACGUUCCCGGGCCUUGUACACACCGCCCGUCACACCAUGGGAGUCGGUAACACCCGAAGCCUGUAGUCUAACCGCAAGGAGGACGCAGUCGAAGGUGGGAUUGAUGACUGGGGUGAAGUCGUAACAAGGUAGC